CCUACGGGAGGCAGCAGUGGGGAAUAUUGCACAAUGGGGGAAACCCUGAUGCAGCGACGCCGCGUGAGCGAUGAAGUAUUUCGGUAUGUAAAGCUCUAUCAGCAGGGAAGAAAAUGACGGUACCUGACCAAGAAGCCCCGGCUAACUACGUGCCAGCAGCCGCGGUAAUACGUAGGGGGCAAGCGUUAUCCGGAUUUACUGGGUGUAAGGGGAGCGUAGACGGUCCUGCAAGCCAGAUGUGAAAGCCCGGGGCUAAAGCCCGGGACUGCAUUUGGAACUGUAAGGCUAGAGUGUCGGAGAGGCAGGAGGAAUGCCUGGUGUAGCGGUGAAAUGCGUAGAUAUUAGGAGGAACACCAGUGGCGAAGGCGGCCUGCUGGACGAUGACUGACGUUGAGGCUCGAAAGCGUGGGGAGCAAACAGGAUUAGAUACCCCUGUAGUC
RNAcentral lists this ribosomal RNA (440 nucleotides) under uncultured bacterium. Its description in RNAcentral is "partial 16S ribosomal RNA". It matches the Rfam family "Bacterial small subunit ribosomal RNA", at positions 338 to 795 of the family's 1533-position model. The record is from RNAcentral.